CGGAAAAGUCUCCGAAUUGGACCGAGGUUUUGGCUAGCCCCCCAUUGUCAGACGUCCCGAGCGCGUUCCCGAAGUCGGAAUCGGCAAAGGUGAGCCGGGACAGCCUUCUUCCUCCGCCCAGCCGCCACAGUAAUUUGUCGUCAAGUUUGCCACAGGAGGAUAUUUUGUUCUGAGUUAACCUGCCUUUCUACUUCGCAGGUUGUUUAUUAAUAUUUGUGUAAUUUUAAUUACUCCUAGAAUUUCCGCAUGUGUUAGCAGUAAUUAUUUGAAUUUGGUCUAUAAUAUUAUUAUCAUGUUGGACCUGUAAACUUAAUAUUUUAAGUCUGUUUUGAUGGAUUGGAUGAGGGAGCUGAGCUCCCAUUUAUUAUUA
Long non-coding RNA from Hevea brasiliensis (rubber tree), 370 nucleotides. RefSeq lists it as uncharacterized. The record is from RefSeq and is a predicted model, not a curated record. The transcript has 3 exons. NCBI's taxonomy places the organism in Eukaryota, Viridiplantae, Streptophyta, Magnoliopsida, Malpighiales, Euphorbiaceae.